UUAGGAAUCUUGCGCAAUGGGCGAAAGCCUGACGCAGCGACGUCGCGUGGGGGAGGAAGGCUUUCGGGUUGUAAACCCCUUUUAUCGAGGAAGAAACAAAUGACGGUACUCGACGAAUAAGCCCCGGCUAACUCCGUGCCAGCAGCCGCGGUAAUACGGAGGGGGCUAGCGUUGUCCGAAGUUACUGGGCGUAAAGCGCGCGUAGGCGGGUUGGUAAGUCCGCUGUGAAAGCCCGGAGCUCAACUCCGGAGGGUCGGUGGAUACUGCCAGUCUUGAAGGUGCUAGGGGGAGAUGGAAUUACCGGUGUAGCGGUGAAAUGCGUAGAUAUCGGUAGGAACACCAGUGGCGAAGGCGGUCUCCUGGGGCAUUCUUGACGCUGAGGCGCGAAAGCUGGGGGAGCAAACGGGAUUAGAUACCCCCGUAGUCC
Molecule: ribosomal RNA, 427 nt
Filed under: uncultured bacterium
Lineage: Bacteria
Description: bacterial SSU rRNA
Rfam family: Bacterial small subunit ribosomal RNA
Source: RNAcentral